RNAcentral lists this ribosomal RNA (484 nucleotides) under uncultured bacterium. RNAcentral describes it as "partial 16S ribosomal RNA". It matches the Rfam family "Bacterial small subunit ribosomal RNA", at positions 29 to 507 of the family's 1533-position model. The record is from RNAcentral.
AUUGAACGCUGGCGGCAUGCCUUACACAUGCAAGUCGAACGGCAGCGCGGACUUCGGUCUGGCGGCGAGUGGCGAACGGGUGAGUAAUACAUCGGAACGUACCCUGUUGUGGGGGAUAACUAGUCGAAAGAUUAGCUAAUACCGCAUACGACCUGAGGGUGAAAGUGGGGGACCGCAAGGCCUCACGCAGCAGGAGCGGCCGAUGUCUGAUUAGCUAGUUGGUGGGGUAAAGGCCCACCAAGGCGACGAUCAGUAGCUGGUCUGAGAGGACGAUCAGCCACACUGGGACUGAGACACGGCCCAGACUCCUACGGGAGGCAGCAGUGGGGAAUGUUGGACAAUGGGGGCAACCCUGAUCCAGCAAUGCCGCGUGUGUGAAGAAGGCCUUCGGGUUGUAAAGCACUUUUGUCCGGAAAGAAAUCGCGCUGGUUAAUACCUGGCGUGGAUGACGGUACCGGAAGAAUAAGCACCGGCUAACUACGCG